Molecule: ribosomal RNA, 379 nt
Filed under: uncultured cyanobacterium
Lineage: Bacteria; Bacillati; Cyanobacteriota
Description: bacterial SSU rRNA
Rfam family: Bacterial small subunit ribosomal RNA
Source: RNAcentral
CGAAAGCCUGACGGAGCAACGCCGCGUGAGGGAUGAAGGCCUCUGGGCUGUAAACCUCUUUUCUCAAGGAAGAAGAUCUGACGGUACUUGAUGAAUAAGCCACGGCUAAUUCCGUGCCAGCAGCCGCGGUAAUACGGGAGUGGCAAGCGUUAUCCGGAAUUAUUGGGCGUAAAGCGUCCGCAGGCGGUUCUGUAAGUCUGCCGUUAAAGCGUGGAGCUUAACUCCAUUUCGGCGGUGGAAACUGCAGGACUUGAGUGUGGUAGGGGCAGAGGGAAUUCCCGGUGUAGCGGUGAAAUGCGUAGAUAUCGGGAAGAACACCAGUGGCGAAAGCGCUCUGCUGGGCCAUAACUGACGCUCAUGGACGAAAGCCAGGGGAGCG